UUGUCUCAGCCUAGUUCUCAUAUGCAAAGUCAGCACAGCCUGACUCAUGGCAAAGCCAAGCCCUGUCCAAGGAAGAAUGGUCUUUACAUUCUAAGUGGUUACAUUUUAAAUGGUUCUGGAAGGCCCUGCAUAGUCCCUUUAGUUUGCCUCUUGGCCCACAGAGCCUAAAUUCUUUCCCAUGUCGCCCUUAGGGAAUCACUGCUGACCACUGUGAGGUGGACCCUCAGCCAGGCUCUCGAGAACAUUCACUGUAUGUGUCUGUAGCAAUUCUGUCAACACUCUGGGGUCAGUUUGGCUGAAUAUCAUUUGUGUCACUUUUAAAUCACUUUUUUGAGAUCCCUGGUGUAGACAGCAAUGCCUCAGCUCCAUCAGGUAUCUACUCAAACAGCGUCUCCCUGAUGAGGCCUUUCCUGACGAUGGAACUCGGAACCUGCCCAGUGCUGCCCCCUAGCCCUGUCCCCUCUUCACUGUUUCCACGGCACUUCUCACCUUCGGGCGUGCUGCAUCACUUACCGAUGCCCACACUCCUGCCGCCCUCACUGUAAACGAAGGUCCACUCUACACCCAGCACCUAAAGCAGGACCUGGAAUGGGUAAGCACUCAGCCCACAUGUGCUGAAUGAAUAAACCUGUGCCGAAGGCUUCUUUUACAGAACUGAACGAGUCUUGGCCUCUCUCACCUGCCUUCCAUUGGUACCGGCAGCCAUGAAAUAGAGAAAGAGAUGUCAGGA
This is a long non-coding RNA of Eptesicus fuscus (big brown bat), 730 nucleotides long. RefSeq lists it as uncharacterized. Lineage: Eukaryota; Metazoa; Chordata; Mammalia; Chiroptera; Vespertilionidae. The transcript is spliced from 3 exons. The record is from RefSeq and is a predicted model, not a curated record.